GUAGAGGAUCCAGCGCUGGUGAUCCAGCGCUGGUAAUCCAAUGUAGACACUUACCAGCGCUUUUCUUGACCUCCGUGGAAGGAGGAAGCCUCUGGUAAUCAAGCUGGUCUCCUUCCCUGCGGUUUGCUGGGUGGCUCCGGGAACGCGAGAGCAAACCGCGGCGAAGCGGGUCUCCUUUCCCGGUUUGCUCUCUCGUUCCCGGAGCCCCGAGCAAGCAGGUCUCCUUCCCUGCGGUUUGCUGGGUGGCUCCGGGAACGCGAGAGCAAACCGCGGCGAAGCGGGUCUCCUUUCCCGGUUUGCUCUCGCGUUCCCGGAACCCCCCUUGAAGCCGCCCAACAGCGCUGCAGUGUGGCCACAUCUAACACCACUUGCAGCGCUGGUUGCUGUAAGUGUGGCCACUCUGCAGCGCUGGCCCUAUACAGCUGUACUA
Long non-coding RNA from Gopherus flavomarginatus (Mexican gopher tortoise), 430 nucleotides. RefSeq lists it as uncharacterized. NCBI's taxonomy places the organism in Eukaryota, Metazoa, Chordata, Testudines, Testudinidae. The transcript is spliced from 3 exons. The record is from RefSeq and is a predicted model, not a curated record.